Molecule: transfer RNA, 88 nt
Filed under: Azonexus sp.
Lineage: Bacteria; Pseudomonadati; Pseudomonadota; Betaproteobacteria; Rhodocyclales; Azonexaceae
Also listed under: 2 other names
Description: tRNA-Ser
Rfam family: tRNA
About the family: Transfer RNA (tRNA) molecules are approximately 80 nucleotides in length. Their secondary structure includes four short double-helical elements and three loops (D, anti-codon, and T loops).
Source: RNAcentral
GGAGGUGUGGCAGAGUGGUCGAUUGCACUGGUCUUGAAAACCAGCAAGGGGCAACCCUUCGUGAGUUCGAAUCUCACCGCCUCCGCCA